This 505-nucleotide ribosomal RNA is filed under the name uncultured Geobacter sp. RNAcentral describes it as "bacterial SSU rRNA". It matches the Rfam family "Bacterial small subunit ribosomal RNA", at positions 335 to 831 of the family's 1533-position model. The record is from RNAcentral. Lineage: Bacteria; Pseudomonadati; Thermodesulfobacteriota; Desulfuromonadia; Geobacterales; Geobacteraceae.
ACUCCUACGGGAGGCAGCAGUGGGGAAUUUUACGCAAUGGGGGAAACCCUGACGCAGCAACGCCGCGUGAGUGAUGAAGGCCCUUGGGUCGUAAAGCUCUGACAGAGGGAAAGAAGUGUAGAGUGGCUAAUAUCCACAUUACUUGACGGUACCCUCAAAGGAAGCACCGGCUAACUCCGUGCCAGCAGCCGCGGUAAUACGGGGGGUGCAAGCGUUGUUCGGAUUUAUUGGGCGUAAAGCGCGUGUAGGCGGUUUUAUAAGUCUGAUGUGAAAGCCCUGGGCUCGACCCGGGAAGUGCAUUGGAUACUGUAAGACUUGAAUACGGGAGAGGGCAGUGGAAUUCCUAGUGUAGGAGUGAAAUCCGUAGAUAUUAGGAGGAACACCGGUGGCGAAGGCGGCUGCCUGGACCGAUAUUGACGCUGAGACGCGAAAGCGUGGGUAGCAAACAGGAUUAGAUACCCUGGUAGUCCACGCCGUAAACGAUGAGAACUAGGUGUCGCGGGUA